GACGAACGCUGGCGGCGUGCUUAACACAUGCAAGUCGAACGGAAAGGCCCUGCUUUUGUGGGGUGCUCGAGUGGCGAACGGGUGAGUAACACGUGAGUAACCUGCCCUUGACUUUGGGAUAACUUCAGGAAACUGGGGCUAAUACCGGAUAGGAGCUCCUGCGGCAUGGUGGGGGUUGGAAAGUUUCGGCGGUUGGGGAUGGACUCGCGGCUUAUCAGCUUGUUGGUGGGGUAGUGGCUUACCAAGGCUUUGACGGGUAGCCGGCCUGAGAGGGUGACCGGCCACAUUGGGACUGAGAUACGGCCCAGACUCCUACGGGAGGCAGCAGUGGGGAAUAUUGCACAAUGGGCGGAAGCCUGAUGCAGAAACGCCGCGUGCGGGAUGACGGCCUUCGGGUUGUAAACCGCUUUCGCCUGUGACGAAGCGUGAGUGACGGUAAUGGGUAAAGAAGCACCGGCUAACUACGUG
This 468-nucleotide ribosomal RNA is filed under the name uncultured bacterium. RNAcentral's name for it is "partial 16S ribosomal RNA". It matches the Rfam family "Bacterial small subunit ribosomal RNA", at positions 28 to 507 of the family's 1533-position model. The record is from RNAcentral.